GGGGAUAUGACGAUCAUUUCCCCAGAUGAUCGUCAAUGAACAUACUGUGCGCUAUUGUUUUCUCUUAGGAGAUAAUCAAGCCAGAACUCUGAUCCUC
Oryza punctata is the source of this 97-nucleotide non-coding RNA. The record is from Rfam. NCBI's taxonomy places the organism in Eukaryota, Viridiplantae, Streptophyta, Magnoliopsida, Poales, Poaceae.